Molecule: ribosomal RNA, 386 nt
Filed under: uncultured Streptococcus sp.
Lineage: Bacteria; Bacillati; Bacillota; Bacilli; Lactobacillales; Streptococcaceae
Description: bacterial SSU rRNA
Rfam family: Bacterial small subunit ribosomal RNA
Source: RNAcentral
UGCUAUUCUAGAGAUAGAAAGUUACUUCGGUACAUCGGUGACAGGUGGUGCAUGGUUGUCGUCAGCUCGUGUCGUGAGAUGUUGGGUUAAGUCCCGCAACGAGCGCAACCCCUAUUGUUAGUUGCCAUCAUUCAGUUGGGCACUCUAGCGAGACUGCGGUAAUAAACCGGAGGAAGGUGGGAGUGACGUCAAAUCAUCAUGCCCCUUAUGACCUGGGCUACACACGUGCUACAAUGGUUGGUACAACGAGUUGCGAGUCGGUGACGGCGAGCUAAUCUCUUAAAGCCAAUCUCAGUUCGGAUUGUAGGCUGCAACUCGCCUACAUGAAGUCGGAAUCGCUAGUAAUCGCGGAUCAGCACGCCGCGGUGAAUACGUUCCCGGGCCUU